AGAGGCCACACCUGUUCCCAUGCCGAACACAGAAGUUAAGCUCUCUUGUGCCGAUGGUACUUGGACCGCAGGGUCCCGGGAGAGUAGGUAGUCGCCGGGU
RNAcentral lists this ribosomal RNA (100 nucleotides) under Clostridiales bacterium. The record is from RNAcentral. Lineage: Bacteria; Bacillati; Bacillota; Clostridia; Eubacteriales.